Molecule: ribosomal RNA, 406 nt
Filed under: uncultured bacterium
Lineage: Bacteria
Description: partial 16S ribosomal RNA
Rfam family: Bacterial small subunit ribosomal RNA
Source: RNAcentral
GACGAACGCUGGCGGCGUGCCUAAUACAUGCAAGUCGAACGAGUGGCGGACGGGUGAGUAACACGUGGGAACCUACCCAUCAGAGGGGGAUAACACGUGGAAACAUGUGCUAUUACCGCAUACUGCUGGAUGAACCCGCGGUGCAUUAGCUAGUUGGUGGGGUAACGGCUCACCUAGGGGACGUUCUCUAGCUGGUCUGAGCGGUGUAUCAGCACAACUGGAACUGAGACACGGCCCAGACUCCUCCGGGAGGCAGCAGUGGGGAAUAUUGGCAAAGGGGGGCAAGCCGGAUGCAGCCAUGCCGCGUGUAUGAAGAAGGCCUUAGGGUUGUAAAGUACUUUCAGCGGGGAGGCGUUACCCGCAGAAGAAGCACCGGCUAACUCCGUGCCAGCAGCCGCGGUAAUAC